This 305-nucleotide ribosomal RNA is filed under the name uncultured bacterium. RNAcentral describes it as "partial 16S ribosomal RNA". It matches the Rfam family "Bacterial small subunit ribosomal RNA", at positions 508 to 807 of the family's 1533-position model. The record is from RNAcentral.
ACAGCAGCCGCCACGGUAAUACGUAGGUGGCAAGCGUUGUCCGGAAUUAUUGGGCGUAAAGGGCUCGCAGGCGGUUUCUUAAGUCUGAUGUGAAAGCCCCCGGCUCAACCGGGGAGGGUCAUUGGAAACUGGGAAACUUGAGUGCAGAAGAGGAGAGUGGAAUUCCACGUGUAGCGGUGAAAUGCGUAGAGAUGUGGAGGAACACCAGUGGCGAAGGCGACUCUCUGGUCUGUAACUGACGCUGAGGAGCGAAAGCGUGGGGAGCGAACGGGAUUAGAUACCCCGGUAGUCCCUGUCUCUUAUAC